AAGUCGUAACAAGGUUUCCGUAGGUGAACCUGCGGAAGGAUCAUUACCGAAGUACAGGCCCUUUUAUAGGGCUAAACUUCCACCCUUUGUUUACUAUUCUUUGUUGCUUUGGCGAGACGUCUUCGGACCACCGGCUCUCGGGCUGGUGAGCGCUCGCCAGAGGAAAAUCAAACCCAAACCUUUUUUAGUGUUGUCUGAGAAACAAGUUUAAUUAUUAAAACUUUCAACAACGGAUCUCUUGGCUCUG
Molecule: unclassified non-coding RNA, 247 nt
Filed under: Tricellula proliferata
Lineage: Eukaryota; Fungi; Ascomycota; Leotiomycetes; Helotiales; Calloriaceae
Also listed under: 1 other name
Description: Articulospora proliferata partial internal transcribed spacer region
Rfam family: Eukaryotic small subunit ribosomal RNA (bases 1-46)
Source: RNAcentral